GAUGAAGAACGCAGCGAAAUGAGAUAAGUAAUGUGAAUUGCAGAAUUCAGUGAAUCAUCGAAUCUUUGAACGCAUCUUGCGCUCCUUGGUAUUCCUUGGAGCAUGCCUGUUUGAGUAUCAUGAGCAAAUCUCAAAGUCAAUUCCUUUUGUUGAUUCAAUUGGUUUUGCUUUGGACUUGGAGGCCUUGCAGAUUUCACAGUCUGCUCCUCUUAAAUGCAUUAGCUGGAUCUCAGUAAUUAUGCUUGGUUCCACUCGGCGUGAUAAGUAUCACUCGCUGAGGACACUGUUAAAAAGGUGGCCAGGAAAAUACUGAUUGAACCGCUUCUAACGGUCUAUUAAGUUAGACAAUUACCCUUAAGUUUGAUCUCAAAUCAGGCAGGACUACCCGCUGAACUUAAGCAUAUCAAUAAGCGGAGGA
RNAcentral lists this unclassified non-coding RNA (418 nucleotides) under soil metagenome. RNAcentral describes it as "partial contains 5.8S ribosomal RNA, internal transcribed spacer 2, and large subunit ribosomal RNA". The stretch from base 1 to 120 matches the Rfam family "5.8S ribosomal RNA", at positions 35 to 154 of the family's 154-position model. The record is from RNAcentral.